UUCUUGGACCGCAGCAGGACGGACUACAGCGAAAGCAUUUGCCAAGCGCGUCUUCAUUAAUCAAGAACGAAAGUCAGAGGUUCGAAGGCGAUCAGAUACCGCCCUAGUUCUGACCGUAAACGAUGCCAACUAGCGAUCCGCCGGCGGCUUCUCGGCCCUGGUGGGGAGCUUCCCGGAAACGAAAGUCUUCCGGUUCCGGGGGAAGUAUGGUUGCAAAGCUGAAACUUAAAGGAAUUGACGGAAGGGCACCACCAGGAGUGGAGCCUGCGGCUUAAUUUGACUCAACACGGGAAAACUCACCCGGCCCGGACACCGUGAGGAUUGACAGAUUGAUAGCUUUUUCAUGAUUCGGUGGUUGGUGGUGCAUGGCCGUUCUUAGUUCGUGGAUCGAUUUGUCUGGUUUAUUCCGAUAACGAGCGAGACUCCAGCCUACUAACUAGUGCGGGCAUUGCYUCUGUGCUUGUCACUUCUUAGAGGGAUUGGCUGCGUCUAGCGGCACGAAACGGAGCAAUAACAGGUCUGUGAUGCCCUUAGAUGUCCGGGGCUGCACGCGCGCUACACUGGCAAAGGCAGCGUGCUUGUCCGCCUCCGAAAGGAGCCGGUAAACCCUUGAAAAUUUGCCGUGAUUGGGAUCGGAAAUUGCAAUUAUUUUCCGUGAACGAGGAAUUCCUAGUAAGUGCGAGUCAUCAGCUCGCGUUGAUUACGUCCUG
RNAcentral lists this ribosomal RNA (710 nucleotides) under Ogma aquitanense. Its description in RNAcentral is "SSU rRNA". It matches the Rfam family "Eukaryotic small subunit ribosomal RNA", at positions 928 to 1675 of the family's 1831-position model. Lineage: Eukaryota; Metazoa; Nematoda; Chromadorea; Rhabditida; Criconematidae. The record is from RNAcentral.